This 2901-nucleotide ribosomal RNA is filed under the name Escherichia coli. RNAcentral's name for it is "23S ribosomal RNA". It matches the Rfam family "Bacterial large subunit ribosomal RNA". The record is from RNAcentral. Lineage: Bacteria; Pseudomonadati; Pseudomonadota; Gammaproteobacteria; Enterobacterales; Enterobacteriaceae.
UUAAGCGACUAAGCGUACACGGUGGAUGCCCUGGCAGUCAGAGGCGAUGAAGGACGUGCUAAUCUGCGAUAAGCGUCGGUAAGGUGAUAUGAACCGUUAUAACCGGCGAUUUCCGAAUGGGGAAACCCAGUGUGUUUCGACACACUAUCAUUAACUGAAUCCAUAGGUUAAUGAGGCGAACCGGGGGAACUGAAACAUCUAAGUACCCCGAGGAAAAGAAAUCAACCGAGAUUCCCCCAGUAGCGGCGAGCGAACGGGGAGGAGCCCAGAGCCUGAAUCAGUGUGUGUGUUAGUGGAAGCGUCUGGAAAGGCGCGCGAUACAGGGUGACAGCCCCGUACACAAAAAUGCACAUAUUGUGAGCUCGAUGAGUAGGGCGGGACACGUGGUAUCCUGUCUGAAUAUGGGGGGACCAUCCUCCAAGGCUAAAUACUCCUGACUGACCGAUAGUGAACCAGUACCGUGAGGGAAAGGCGAAAAGAACCCCGGCGAGGGGAGUGAAAAAGAACCUGAAACCGUGUACGUACAAGCAGUGGGAGCCUCUUUUAUGGGGUGACUGCGUACCUUUUGUAUAAUGGGUCAGCGACUUAUAUUCUGUAGCAAGGUUAACCGAAUAGGGGAGCCGAAGGGAAACCGAGUCUUAACUGGGCGUUAAGUUGCAGGGUAUAGACCCGAAACCCGGUGAUCUAGCCAUGGGCAGGUUGAAGGUUGGGUAACACUAACUGGAGGACCGAACCGACUAAUGUUGAAAAAUUAGCGGAUGACUUGUGGCUGGGGGUGAAAGGCCAAUCAAACCGGGAGAUAGCUGGUUCUCCCCGAAAGCUAUUUAGGUAGCGCCUCGUGAACUCAUCUCCGGGGGUAGAGCACUGUUUCGGCAAGGGGGUCAUCCCGACUUACCAACCCGAUGCAAACUGCGAAUACCGGAGAAUGUUAUCACGGGAGACACACGGCGGGUGCUAACGUCCGUCGUGAAGAGGGAAACAACCCAGACCGCCAGCUAAGGUCCCAAAGUCAUGGUUAAGUGGGAAACGAUGUGGGAAGGCCCAGACAGCCAGGAUGUUGGCUUAGAAGCAGCCAUCAUUUAAAGAAAGCGUAAUAGCUCACUGGUCGAGUCGGCCUGCGCGGAAGAUGUAACGGGGCUAAACCAUGCACCGAAGCUGCGGCAGCGACACUAUGUGUUGUUGGGUAGGGGAGCGUUCUGUAAGCCUGUGAAGGUGUGCUGUGAGGCAUGCUGGAGGUAUCAGAAGUGCGAAUGCUGACAUAAGUAACGAUAAAGCGGGUGAAAAGCCCGCUCGCCGGAAGACCAAGGGUUCCUGUCCAACGUUAAUCGGGGCAGGGUGAGUCGACCCCUAAGGCGAGGCCGAAAGGCGUAGUCGAUGGGAAACAGGUUAAUAUUCCUGUACUUGGUGUUACUGCGAAGGGGGGACGGAGAAGGCUAUGUUGGCCGGGCGACGGUUGUCCCGGUUUAAGCGUGUAGGCUGGUUUUCCAGGCAAAUCCGGAAAAUCAAGGCUGAGGCGUGAUGACGAGGCACUACGGUGCUGAAGCAACAAAUGCCCUGCUUCCAGGAAAAGCCUCUAAGCAUCAGGUAACAUCAAAUCGUACCCCAAACCGACACAGGUGGUCAGGUAGAGAAUACCAAGGCGCUUGAGAGAACUCGGGUGAAGGAACUAGGCAAAAUGGUGCCGUAACUUCGGGAGAAGGCACGCUGAUAUGUAGGUGAAGUCCCUCGCGGAUGGAGCUGAAAUCAGUCGAAGAUACCAGCUGGCUGCAACUGUUUAUUAAAAACACAGCACUGUGCAAACACGAAAGUGGACGUAUACGGUGUGACGCCUGCCCGGUGCCGGAAGGUUAAUUGAUGGGGUCAGCGCAAGCGAAGCUCUUGAUCGAAGCCCCGGUAAACGGCGGCCGUAACUAUAACGGUCCUAAGGUAGCGAAAUUCCUUGUCGGGUAAGUUCCGACCUGCACGAAUGGCGUAAUGAUGGCCAGGCUGUCUCCACCCGAGACUCAGUGAAAUUGAACUCGCUGUGAAGAUGCAGUGUACCCGCGGCAAGACGGAAAGACCCCGUGAACCUUUACUAUAGCUUGACACUGAACAUUGAGCCUUGAUGUGUAGGAUAGGUGGGAGGCUUAGAAGUGUGGACGCCAGUCUGCAUGGAGCCGACCUUGAAAUACCACCCUUUAAUGUUUGAUGUUCUAACGUUGACCCGUGAUCCGGGUUGCGGACAGUGUCUGGUGGGUAGUUUGACUGGGGCGGUCUCCUCCUAAAGAGUAACGGAGGAGCACGAAGGUUGGCUAAUCCUGGUCGGACAUCAGGAGGUUAGUGCAAUGGCAUAAGCCAGCUUGACUGCGAGCGUGACGGCGCGAGCAGGUGCGAAAGCAGGUCAUAGUGAUCCGGUGGUUCUGAAUGGAAGGGCCAUCGCUCAACGGAUAAAAGGUACUCCGGGGAUAACAGGCUGAUACCGCCCAAGAGUUCAUAUCGACGGCGGUGUUUGGCACCUCGAUGUCGGCUCAUCACAUCCUGGGGCUGAAGUAGGUCCCAAGGGUAUGGCUGUUCGCCAUUUAAAGUGGUACGCGAGCUGGGUUUAGAACGUCGUGAGACAGUUCGGUCCCUAUCUGCCGUGGGCGCUGGAGAACUGAGGGGGGCUGCUCCUAGUACGAGAGGACCGGAGUGGACGCAUCACUGGUGUUCGGGUUGUCAUGCCAAUGGCACUGCCCGGUAGCUAAAUGCGGAAGAGAUAAGUGCUGAAAGCAUCUAAGCACGAAACUUGCCCCGAGAUGAGUUCUCCCUGACCCUUUAAGGGUCCUGAAGGAACGUUGAAGACGACGACGUUGAUAGGCCGGGUGUGUAAGCGCAGCGAUGCGUUGAGCUAACCGGUACUAAUGAACCGUGAGGCUUAACCUU